UUGAUGACAAAUAGCAUAAUUCUCCAAACCAAGUCGCCAAUUAGAUAGGCUCACCAAACUGAGUAAAUCAAGAACACUAGCAAUAAAAACUCAAGAUGAAAUGAAAAUAAUUCACAAUCCAAGAAGAGUGUACAAAAGUAAACCUGAGGCUUGAUACUAUACAAAACGUUAUUUUACUUCAAAACAACCUUCACUGCAGAAAACGGGUUCGUGUUUCAAUUCACAUGUAUGGAGAUCAAAACAUUCAAAGCCAUAAUAGGAAAAUAACACAAUUCAAUGAUAGAAAUUAAAUUAAGUAAAUUCAACCAGGGGUGACGAAUGAUGACCAUGUCUUGCAAAACGUCUAAAAACAGAAAACUCGCAUCAGGACUCCCAACGAACUCAAAAAUAGCAGCAGAUCAUGCAAAUAAGAAAAACAAACUCAAUGAAAGAAACCAGCAAGAACAAAAUCAAGAACCUGUACGAUAAAGGAUAAGAGAAAAAGAAUACAAAACAUCAAGAUCAAACAAGAGGAAGAUAGAACCGAGAAGGAAUCGUGUGUUCACAGAUUACCUCUCCUGCAACACCGAAGAUGAACAAAAUCAACAAUGAAAACAGAAAUAUUUAAACGAAAAAAUUUACUUAAAGAAAAUAUGCUCUCAGAAUCUAAAAAGAAAGAUUGAAACGAAUAUUUUUUUACUAGAGAUCACCAAACAAAACUCGAGCGUCCAUUCUUUGCUGUGAAGAACGUUAUUAUUUCGACAAAGCAUGCUGCAGAAAAACAGGUUCGCAAUUCGUAUGUCUUGCAAUCAAAGCAAAAAAAUAAAAAUAAAAGAACGACUCAUUGAAGAAACUUGAUUUGUCUAUCUGGAUGCAUUCUCUUUAAUAGAAAACCCUGAAAUCGAGCCAUCAAGAAGCAAGCAAUCGGAGCAAAGGAUAUCAAGAAAGAGUAGAAGAAAUCGAAAUCAGAGCAACGGAUAUCAAGAACUAGUGCUAGAAAAAAUUGGAAUCAAGAAAUCGAAUUCAUCACAAACGAGUUAAACACAAAACAAGAACAAACAA
This is a non-coding RNA of Cicer arietinum (chickpea), 1041 nucleotides long. NCBI's taxonomy places the organism in Eukaryota, Viridiplantae, Streptophyta, Magnoliopsida, Fabales, Fabaceae. The record is from RefSeq and is a predicted model, not a curated record.